Molecule: non-coding RNA, 82 nt
Organism: Apis mellifera (honey bee)
Lineage: Eukaryota; Metazoa; Arthropoda; Insecta; Hymenoptera; Apidae
Source: RefSeq, marked provisional
ACGCCAGCUAAUCCGAGGCUGCGGCAAAGAUAAUUCCCGACGUAUUCCAGGAUUAUUUGCUGCGGCUUUGGAUUAUUUGGCG